RNAcentral lists this ribosomal RNA (553 nucleotides) under Shelfordina volubilis. RNAcentral's name for it is "eukaryotic LSU rRNA". It matches the Rfam family "Eukaryotic large subunit ribosomal RNA", at positions 689 to 1167 of the family's 3401-position model. The record is from RNAcentral. Lineage: Eukaryota; Metazoa; Arthropoda; Insecta; Blattodea; Pseudophyllodromiidae.
AGUCGAGGGGUCGGAAGGUAGACCCAGAGGCGAAGUGAAAUCGAAAGGCGGGGGCUCGCCUUCUCCGGAAGGAGUGAGUCCAUCCCCGCCGGUGGGAAGAAGGCCCCGCUCCGGCGGAAGGCCCGCACUCCCGGGGCGACCCGGUCCUUCCGGAUCCGCGGUCGCACCCUCGAGCGCACGCGUUGGGACCCGAAAGAUGGUGAACUAUGCCUGGCCAGGACGAAGUCAGGGGAAACCCUGAUGGAGGUCCGCAGCGAUUCUGACGUGCAAAUCGAUCGUCAGAGCUGGGUAUAGGGGCGAAAGACUAAUCGAACCGUCUAGUAGCUGGUUCCCUCCGAAGUUUCUCUCAGGAUAGCUGGCGCCGGAGUGGGAUGCAAGAGUCUCAUCCGGUAAAGCGAAUGAUUAGAGGCCUUGGGGCCGAAACGACCUCAACCUAUUCUCAAACUUUAAAUGGGUGAGAUCUCCGGCUUGCUCGAAGCGAUGAAGCCGCGAGGUCGGAUCCCGGUGCCAAGUGGGCCAUUUUUGGUAAGCAGAACUGGCGCUGUGGGAUGAA